This 752-nucleotide ribosomal RNA is filed under the name Bacillus sp. YC6905. RNAcentral describes it as "bacterial SSU rRNA". It matches the Rfam family "Bacterial small subunit ribosomal RNA", at positions 154 to 889 of the family's 1533-position model. The record is from RNAcentral. Lineage: Bacteria; Bacillati; Bacillota; Bacilli; Caryophanales; Bacillaceae.
AAACCGGGGCUAAUACCGGAUGCUUGAUUGAACCGCAUGGUUCAAUCAUAAAAGGGGGUUUUUACCUACCUUUUACAAAUGGACCCCCGGCCCAUUAUCUAGUUGGGGAGGUAACGGCUCACCAAGGCCAAAAUGCGUACCCAACCUGAAAGGGUGAUCGGCCACCCUGGGACUGAAACACGGCACAAACUCCUACGGGAGGCAGCAGUAGGGAAUCUUCCCCAAUGGACAAAAUUCUGACGGAACAACCCCCCGUGAGUGAUGAAGGUUUUCGGAUCGUAAAACUCUGUUGUUAGGGAAAAACAAGUACCGUUCGAAUAGGGCGGCACCUUGACGGUACCUAACCAAAAAGCCACGGCUAACUACGUGCCAACAGCCGCGGUAAUACGUAUGUGGCAAGCGUUGUCCGGAAUUAUUGGGCGUAAAGCGCGCGCAGGCGGUUUCUUAAGUCUGAUGUGAAAGCCCCCGGCUCAACCGGGGAGGGUCAUUGGAAACUGGGGAACUUGAGUGCAAAAGAAGAGAGUGGAAUUCCACGUGUAGCGGUGAAAUGCGUAGAGAUGUGGAAGAACACCAGUGGCGAAGGCGACUCUCUGGUCUGUAACUGACGCUGAAGCGCGAAAGCGUGGGGAGCGAACAGGAUUAGAUACCCUGGUAGUCCACGCCGUAAACGAUGAGUGCUAAGUGUUAGAGGGUUUCCGCCCUUUAGUGCUGCAGCAAACGCAUUAAGCACUCCGCCUGGGGAGUACGGUCGC